GACGAACGCUGGCGGCGUGCUUAACACAUGCAAGUCGAACGGAAAGGCCCUGCUUUUGUGGGGUGCUCGAGUGGCGAACGGGUGAGUAACACGUGAGUAACCUGCCCUUGACUUUGGGAUAACUUCAAGAAACUGGGGCUAAUACCGGAUAGGAGCUCCUGCUGCAUGGUGGGGGUUGGAAAGGUUCGGCGGUUGGGGAUGGACUCGCGGCUGAUCAGCUUGUUGGUGGGGUAGUGGCUUACCAAGGCUUUGACGGGUAGCCGGCCUGAGAGGGUGACCGGCGACAUUGGGACUGGGAUACGGCCCAGACUCCUACGGGAGGCAGCAGUGGGGAAUAUUGCACAAUGGGCGGAAGCCUGAUGCAGCAACGCCGCGUGCGGGAUGACGGCCUUCGGGUUGUAAACCGCUUUCGCCUGUGACGAAGCGUGAGUGACGGUAAUGGGUAAAGAAGCACCGGCUAACUACGUG
RNAcentral lists this ribosomal RNA (468 nucleotides) under uncultured bacterium. Its description in RNAcentral is "partial 16S ribosomal RNA". It matches the Rfam family "Bacterial small subunit ribosomal RNA", at positions 28 to 507 of the family's 1533-position model. The record is from RNAcentral.